AGGUAUUUUUAAGACCCACCAGAGAAGGGUACACCAGAUAGUUGGGAUUUAAUUCAGAUUCAGUUUCCCAACAGAAGUGCCCAGUAUCAUAUUUGAGUCUCUACAGCAGCCCCCAGCCUCUAGCUGCCACUCCAGAAGGGAACAGGUUCCAUGAAGCUCUCAUGAAGGUUCUAGGUUUAUGAUGUCCAGGUGUUUCAGAUACCCCAAGAUGUUCCUUGAGAUGUUCCCACUUGGGGCUGGAAGGUAUGGCACAGGUUUAUGAGAGAUCUAUGCCCUUAAGGAGCAGGAGAUGGAGACCUGCUGAGGAGCUGCGGGGUGGAAAAAAUGACAGAGAAGACCAGGCCAACCUGAGGUGGGGCUUGUCUUGGAAACUUUUAAGAGAUUCUGAUCAGACAAAUUCUCCUGGGUCAGGGAACCCAGGCACUGGUCUUUAUAAUCAAUGCUUCCUGCCACUGAACUCCGGUUUAGAAGAAACUGGUUUUCUUCUCUUCUAGACUGGGAAAGUUGACCUUAGGAAGAUCUUCUUGUAGGUUUGGGAGCAAGUUACUUCAUCUCCCUGUGCUGCAGAGGGAGAUGGCAAUAAUCUUUCUACUCUUUGUCUACCAGGAGGCAAAACUUGUUGGUAAGAGGAGUCGUCUCUUAGGUUUGGGCUGAAUUUGGCAUAGCUUUCCGGCAUAAUCUGAAUGCGACUUUGCUCGUACACACAGGGCAACCAUGUUGUUGCUAAAAGGGAAUAUUUUUAAACAGUUUUGUUUGUUUUUUUUCUGGGGAGAAGGGGCUGUCUCUUGCAAUAUUUGCAGACAACCCUUGCUAAAAGGAGAUCUGAUCUCAGGCGCAGUCUCCAACCAGGACUAUAAUUCCGGUGGUGAUAACAAUAAUAAACACGGCAAUAACCAUGCCCAAAUAUAGAGCUUGGCACAGUUUUUCCUGUUCAAAUAUCAGUUCCUGUGACUGUCAUUCUUUGCAGCCUUCCAAAUCCAGGCAUUUGGAUACGGCUCUUGCUUCCAACGAGGCCUUUUGUCCGGCGGAGAUUAUUUCCAGCAGACUGCCCUGCAAACUUCCAUGCUGCACUUCAUCCCUCCAAGCAGGAAGAGCAAAUUCCCAGCUUCACUUGCAACCUGGAAGGCAACAAGGAAAAAUAGAAGAGCCCCAUCAACCUCCUGGAGAUGGACAGGGCAGCACUGAGGAGGAAGAGGAGAGCCUAAGUGAAUUAAAAAGUGGAAAAGGGUGAACCCAAAGGCAACAAUUCUCUCUCUAAACUGGUUCAUAUGGGAUUUUCCAGAGAGAUGAGGAAGGGUGGAUGAUGCUAAGAAGCUUUAAUUCUUCUUCCCCUCCGUGCUGUGACUCUCCAGUGUAGCUCACACCAACAGCAUGCUGUGGUCACACCAACCAUGAAGAUAUGCAUUCAUAUGCAUAAAAAUCGGAUAAAUAUGCAAGGCCUUCCUAAAAAUACAGCAACAACCCUGUGACAGCCGUUAGGCAGCACCACACAGUCCUGGUGCUUGCAGUUUCUCACCUGUCCAGAUAUGCCCUGCAGCUCUUUGCUGGGAAUCACUCUGUUAGGAUUUGGAGAGAGCCCAGAUCUCAAGCUAAACCCAUAAAAUCCAUGCCCAAGACAGAGCCAGCAUGGGCAGGUGGUUUGCUCAGAUGCAAAAAAAAAAAAAGGUCCAGAAGAAGGUGGAAAAACCCUCCUGCAGCCUGGAGUCACCUGCUCUGGGCUGCUCAGAGGUGACUGGUUUCCUUCCAGGUGUCUCAGCCAUGAAUUCCCCUUGGCACUACUGCAGAGAAAUGCCCUGACCUCACGGCGAGGUAAAGGAGGAAAGACCAACACUUUAUCAGCCACAUCCAGUCGUGCCUUGUGACUGCCAGGAUUUAUGGCCAGCCUUAUCAAGUUGAGUGUUUCACAGUGCCUAAACC
This 1917-nucleotide long non-coding RNA is filed under the name Anas platyrhynchos platyrhynchos (common mallard). Its description in RNAcentral is "lncRNA (ENSAPLG00000027504.1)". Lineage: Eukaryota; Metazoa; Chordata; Aves; Anseriformes; Anatidae. The record is from RNAcentral.